Molecule: ribosomal RNA, 483 nt
Filed under: Beauveria bassiana
Lineage: Eukaryota; Fungi; Ascomycota; Sordariomycetes; Hypocreales; Cordycipitaceae
Description: eukaryotic LSU rRNA
Rfam family: 5.8S ribosomal RNA (bases 119-272)
Source: RNAcentral
UGCUUCGGCGGACUCGCCCCAGCCCGGACGCGGACUGGACCAGCGGCCCGCCGGGGACCUCAAACUCUUGUAUUCCAGCAUCUUCUGAAUACGCCGCAAGGCAAAACAAAUGAAUCAAAACUUUCAACAACGGAUCUCUUGGCUCUGGCAUCGAUGAAGAACGCAGCGAAACGCGAUAAGUAAUGUGAAUUGCAGAAUCCAGUGAAUCAUCGAAUCUUUGAACGCACAUUGCGCCCGCCAGCAUUCUGGCGGGCAUGCCUGUUCGAGCGUCAUUUCAACCCUCGACCUCCCCUUGGGGAGGUCGGCGUUGGGGACCGGCAGCACACCGCCGGCCCUGAAAUGGAGUGGCGGCCCGUCCGCGGCGACCUCUGCGUAGUAAUACAGCUCGCACCGGAACCCCGACGCGGCCACGCCGUAAAACACCCAACUUCUGAACGUUGACCUCGAAUCAGGUAGGACUACCCGCUGAACUUAAGCAUACAU